RNAcentral lists this ribosomal RNA (448 nucleotides) under uncultured bacterium. RNAcentral's name for it is "bacterial SSU rRNA". It matches the Rfam family "Bacterial small subunit ribosomal RNA", at positions 329 to 793 of the family's 1533-position model. The record is from RNAcentral.
UCCCAGACUCCUACGGGAGGCAGCAGUGGGGAAUAUUGCACAAUGGGGGAAACCCUGAUGCAGCGACGCCGCGUGAGUGAAGAAGUAUUUCGGUAUGUAAAGCUCUAUCAGCAGGGAAGAAAAUGACGGUACCUGACUAAGAAGCCCCGGCUAACUACGUGCCAGCAGCCGCGGUAAUACGUAGGGGGCAAGCGUUAUCCGGAUUUACUGGGUGUAAAGGGAGCGUAGACGGUGAUGCAAGUCAGAGGUGAAAGCCCGCGGCUCAACUGCGGGACUGCUUUUGAAACUGUAUGACUGGAGUGCAGGAGAGGUAAGCGGAAUUCCUAGUGUAGCGGUGAAAUGCGUAGAUAUUAGGAGGAACACCAGUGGCGAAGGCGACUUUCUGGACUGUACCUGACGCUGAGGCGCGAAAGCGUGGGUAGCGAACGGGAUUAGAUACCCGAGUAAG